This 590-nucleotide small RNA is filed under the name Pan troglodytes (chimpanzee). Its description in RNAcentral is "processed transcript". Lineage: Eukaryota; Metazoa; Chordata; Mammalia; Primates; Hominidae. The record is from RNAcentral.
GCAGGAGGAACGCGCGCGGCUGAGGCGAGGUCGCUCGGCGCAGCUGUUGCGGGGCCAUGGCGGGGACGGCGCUCAAGAGGCUGAUGGCCGAGUACAAACAAUUAACACUGAAUCCUCCGGAAGGAAUUGUAGCAGGCCCCAUGAAUGAAGAGAACUUUUUUGAAUGGGAGGCAUUGAUCAUGGGCCCAGAAGACACCUGCUUUGAGUUUGGUGUUUUUCCUGCCAUCCUGAGUUUCCCACUUGAUUACCCGUUAAGUCCCCCAAAGAUGAGAUUUACCUGUGAGAUGUUUCAUCCCAACAUGUCACCCUAUGGGGCCAACUCCUGGAGAAGGCAACACAGAAGUGGGAAACUUCCUGAUUUUGUGGAUGUGGAUCUUAGGUGGACAGCCUGAUGUCCAGGGCAAGUAUGCAUCUAGUUUCUUCCACUCUCCUUGAAUGAGAAGUUGUGGUUCAGUUCCUGGAUAGUAGAGCGUUCACCACUGAACGUUCACCACUGAAACAAUGGAUGAGUGGAAACACAUAGGACCAGGUAUGAAAGACAAGACUGUUUGAAGGUAAGUGAUCGCCAUUAACAUUUGUAAAUUUUCAUG